Molecule: long non-coding RNA, 1037 nt
Filed under: Salmo salar (Atlantic salmon)
Lineage: Eukaryota; Metazoa; Chordata; Actinopteri; Salmoniformes; Salmonidae
Description: lncRNA (ENSSSAG00000091261.1)
Source: RNAcentral
ACUAUAUACUGUACUGGCAGACUACAGACUAUACUGGCAGACUGCAGGCUACAUACUAUACUGGCAGACUACAAGCUUCAUACUAUACUGGCAGACUACAGACUAUACUGGCAGACUAUAUACUAUACUGGCAGACUACAGACUAUACUGGCAGACUAUAUACUAUACUGGCAGACUACAGGCUACAUACUAUACUGGCAGACUAUAUACUAUACUGGCAGACUACAGGCUACAUACUAUAUUGGCAGACUAUAUACUAUACUGGCAGACUACAGGCUACAUACUAUAUUGGCAGACUAUAUACUAUACUGGCAGACUACAGGUGACAUACUAUAUUGGCAGACUAUAUACUAUACUGGCAGACUACAGGCUACAUACUACACUGGCAGACUAUAUACUAUACUGGCAGACUACAGGCUACAUACUAUAUUGGCAGACUAUAUACUAUACUGGCAGACUGCAGGCUACAUACUAUAUUGGCAGACUAUAUACUAUACUGGCAGACUACAGGCUACAUACUCUGCUGGCAGACUACAGGCUACAUACUAUAUUGGCAGACUAUAUACUAUACUGGCAGACUACAAGCUACAUACUAUACUGGCAGACUACAGGUGACAUACAAUAUUGGCAGACUACAUACUAUACUGGCAGACUACAGGCUACAUACUAUACCUGCAGACUACAUACUAUACUGGCAGAAUACAGUUUACAUACUAUACCGGCAGACUACAGACUACAUACUAUACUGGCAGACUUUAAGCUACAUACUAUACUGGCAGACUACAAGCUACAUAUUAUACUGGCAGACUGCAUACUGUACUGGCAGACUACAUACUAUACUGUAAGACUACAAACUAUUCUGGCAGACUACAGGCUACAUACUUUACUGGCAGGCUACAGACUACAGACGAUACAGGAAACAACAGACCGCAGGCUACAUGCUAAAGACUACAGGCUACAUACUAUUUCCUGGUUAAAUAAAGGUGAAAUAAAAUAAAUAAAGACUACAUGCUCCAUACUAUACAGGAAGAUUACUG